GGGGUUAUGGCUUAGUGGUAGAGUGCUUGUCUCACAUGCAUGGGGCACUGGGUUCAAUCCUCAGUACCACA
Molecule: transfer RNA, 71 nt
Filed under: Marmota monax (woodchuck)
Lineage: Eukaryota; Metazoa; Chordata; Mammalia; Rodentia; Sciuridae
Description: tRNA.Val
Rfam family: tRNA
About the family: Transfer RNA (tRNA) molecules are approximately 80 nucleotides in length. Their secondary structure includes four short double-helical elements and three loops (D, anti-codon, and T loops).
Source: RNAcentral